GAGUUUGAUCGUGGCUCAGAACGAACGCUGGCGGCGUACUUAACACAUGCAAGUCGGACGAGAAAGGAGACUUCGGUCUCUGAGUACAGUGGCGCACGGGUGCGUGACACGUAAGUAAUCUGCCCCGAACUCUGGGAUAACCCUCCGAAAGGAGGGCUAACACCGGAUAGGGUCCCCGAGGUGUAGGCUGCGGGGGGAAAACGGGCCUCUGUUCCAUGCUCGUGGUUUGGGAUGAGCUUGCGGCCCAUUAGCUUGUUGGUAGGGUAAUGGCUUACCAAGGCGACGAUGGGUAGCUGGUCUGAGAGGAUGAUCAGCCGCACUGGCACUGAGACACGGGCCAGACUCCUACGGGAGGCAGCAGUGGGGAAUUUUGCGCAAUGGGCGAAAGCCUGACGCAGUAACGCCGCGUGGAGGAUGAAGGCCUUCGGUUGUAAC
Molecule: ribosomal RNA, 435 nt
Filed under: uncultured delta proteobacterium
Lineage: Bacteria; Deltaproteobacteria
Description: bacterial SSU rRNA
Rfam family: Bacterial small subunit ribosomal RNA
Source: RNAcentral